GCUUGUCUCAAAGAUUAAGCCAUGCAUGUCUCAGUAUAAGCUUCUAUACGGCGAAACUGCGAAUGGCUCAUUAAAACAGUUAUAGUUUAUUUGGUGGUCAACUCUUACAUGGAUAACCGUGGUAAUUCUAGAGCUAAUACAUGCAUUAAACCCCGACUUCUGGAAGGGGUGUAUUUAUUAGAUGGAAACCAAUGCGGGGCAACCCGGAUUCUGGUGAUUCAUAAUAACUUUCGGAUCGAUCCUCGGAUCGAUGCAUCAUUCAAGUUUCUGCCCUAUCAGCUUUGGAUGGUAGGGUAUUGGCCUACCAUGGCUUUAACGGGUAACGGAGAAUUAGGGUUCGAUUCCGGAGAGGGAGCCUGAGAAAUGGCUACCACAUCCAAGGAAGGCAGCAGG
RNAcentral lists this ribosomal RNA (393 nucleotides) under uncultured Chrysophyceae. RNAcentral describes it as "partial small subunit ribosomal RNA". It matches the Rfam family "Eukaryotic small subunit ribosomal RNA", at positions 30 to 432 of the family's 1831-position model. The record is from RNAcentral. Lineage: Eukaryota; Chrysophyceae.